AUGAACGCUGGCGGCGUGCCUAAUACAUGCAAGUCGAGCGAACAGACGAGGAGCUUGCUCCUCUGACGUUAGCGGCGGACGGGUGAGUAACACGUGGAUAACCUACCUAUAAGACUGGGAUAACUUCGGGAAACCGGAGCUAAUACCGGACAAUAUAUUGAACCGCAUGGUUCAAUAGUGAAAGACGGUUUUGCUGUCACUUAUAGAUGGAUCCGCGCCGCAUUAGCUAGUUGGUAAGGUAACGGCUUACCAAGGCAACGAUGCGUAGCCGACCUGAGAGGGUGAUCGGCCACACUGGAACUGAGACACGGUCCAGACUCCUACGGGAGGCAGCAGUAGGGAAUCUUCCGCAAUGGGCGAAAGCCUGACGGAGCAACGCCGCGUGAGUGAUGAAGGUCUUCGGAUCGUAAAACUCUGUUAUUAGGGAAGAACAAAUGUGUAAGUAACUAUGCACGUCUUGACGGUACCUAAUCAGAAAGCCACGGCUAACUACGUG
This 496-nucleotide ribosomal RNA is filed under the name uncultured bacterium. Its description in RNAcentral is "partial 16S ribosomal RNA". It matches the Rfam family "Bacterial small subunit ribosomal RNA", at positions 29 to 507 of the family's 1533-position model. The record is from RNAcentral.